Molecule: ribosomal RNA, 244 nt
Filed under: uncultured Staphylococcus sp.
Lineage: Bacteria; Bacillati; Bacillota; Bacilli; Caryophanales; Staphylococcaceae
Description: partial 16S ribosomal RNA
Rfam family: Bacterial small subunit ribosomal RNA
Source: RNAcentral
CGGCGGACGGGUGAGUAACACGUGGAUAACCUACCUAUAAGACUGGGAUAACUUCGGGAAACCGGAGCUAAUACCGGAUAAUAUUUUGAACCGCAUGGUUCAAAAGUGAAAGACGGUCUUGCUGUCACUUAUAGAUGGAUCCGCGUUGCAUUAGCUAGUUGGUAAGGUAACGGCUUACCAAGGCAACGAUGCAUAGCCGACCUGAGAGGGUGAUCGGCCACACUGGAACUUAGACACGGUCCAG